AUUGAACGCUGGCGGCAGGCCUAACACAUGCAAGUCGAGCGGUAGAGAGGUGCUUGCAUCUCUUGAGAGCGGCGGACGGGUGAGUAAUGCCUAGGAAUCUGCCCUGGUGGUGGGGGGAUAAACGUUUCGGAAACGGACGCUAAUACCGCAUACGUCCUACGGGAGAAAGCGGGGGGAUCUUCGGACCUCGCGCCAUUAGAUGAGCCUAGGUCGGAUUAGCUAGUUGGUGAGGUAAUGGCUCACCAAGGCGACGAUCCAUAGCUGGUCUGAGAGGAUGAUCAGCCACACUGGGACUGAGACACGGCCCAGACUCCUACGGGAGGCAGCAGUGGGGAAUAUUGGACAAUGGGCGAAAGCCUGAUCCAGCAAUGCCGCGUGAGUGAUGAAGGCCUUAGGGUUGUAAAGC
Molecule: ribosomal RNA, 406 nt
Filed under: uncultured bacterium
Lineage: Bacteria
Description: bacterial SSU rRNA
Rfam family: Bacterial small subunit ribosomal RNA
Source: RNAcentral